AAGUGGUACAGCUCUUUUAGAAUUUCCCUAGCUGGUUUUCUUGUUUUUACUGGAAAAUCCUC
Callithrix jacchus (white-tufted-ear marmoset) is the source of this 62-nucleotide small nuclear RNA. Its record names the gene U7. It matches the Rfam family "U7 small nuclear RNA". Rfam says of the family: Animal histone pre-mRNAs are spliced by a different mechanism than nuclear pre-mRNAs and self-splicing introns. This processing involves the U7 snRNP, which contains only one RNA species: U7. The 5' end of U7 RNA is thought to base-pair to a conserved spacer element downstream of the cleavage site in histone pre-mRNA. The record is from Ensembl. NCBI's taxonomy places the organism in Eukaryota, Metazoa, Chordata, Mammalia, Primates, Cebidae.